UGGGGAAUAUUGCACAAUGGGCGCAAGCCUGAUGCAGCCAUGCCGCGUGUAUGAAGAAGGCCUUCGGGUUGUAAAGUACUUUCAGCGGGGAGGAAGGUGUUAAGGUUAAUAACCUCAGCAAUUGACGUUACCCGCAGAAGAAGCACCGGCUAACUCCGUGCCAGCAGCCGCGGUAAUACGGAGGGUGCAAGCGUUAAUCGGAAUUACUGGGCGUAAAGCGCACGCAGGCGGUCUGUCAAGUCGGAUGUGAAAUCCCCGGGCUCAACCUGGGAACUGCAUUCGAAACUGGCAGGCUAGAGUCUUGUAGAGGGGGGUAGAAUUCCAGGUGUAGCGGUGAAAUGCGUAGAGAUCUGGAGGAAUACCGGUGGCGAAGGCGGCCCCCUGGACAAAGACUGACGCUCAGGUGCGAAAGCGUGGGGAGCAAACA
RNAcentral lists this ribosomal RNA (427 nucleotides) under uncultured bacterium. RNAcentral's name for it is "partial 16S ribosomal RNA". It matches the Rfam family "Bacterial small subunit ribosomal RNA", at positions 355 to 774 of the family's 1533-position model. The record is from RNAcentral.